This 465-nucleotide ribosomal RNA is filed under the name uncultured bacterium. RNAcentral's name for it is "partial 16S ribosomal RNA". It matches the Rfam family "Bacterial small subunit ribosomal RNA", at positions 28 to 507 of the family's 1533-position model. The record is from RNAcentral.
GACGAACGCUGGCGGCGUGCUUAACACAUGCAAGUCGAACGGAAAGGCCCCUUUUGGGGUACUCGAGUGGCGCACGGGUGAGUAACACGUGCGUAACCUGCCCUUGACUUCGGGUUAACUUCAGGAAACUGGGGCUAAUACCGGCUAGGAAUCCUUUCUGCAUGGUGGGGGUUGGAAAGCUUCGGCGGGUUUGGAUGGACUCGCGGCUUAUCCGCCUGGUGGUGGGGUAGUGGGUUACCAAGGAUUGCUCGGGUAGGCGGCCUGAGGGGGCGACCGGCCACAUUGGGACUGAGGUACGGCCCAGACUCCUACGGGAGGCAGCGGUGGGGAAUAUUGCACAAUGGGCGGAAGCCUGAUGCAGCCACGCCGCGUGCGGGAUGACGGCCUUCGGGUUGUAAACCGCUUUCAGCAGGGGCGAAGCUUGUGGUGACGGUACCUGCAGAAGAAGCACCGGCUAACUACGUG